This is a long non-coding RNA of Gallus gallus (chicken), 4158 nucleotides long. RefSeq lists it as uncharacterized. The transcript has 3 exons. Lineage: Eukaryota; Metazoa; Chordata; Aves; Galliformes; Phasianidae. The record is from RefSeq and is a predicted model, not a curated record.
GGCCGCUCCCCGCGGGGCGCUCCCGGCUGCGCGGGCGCUGCCUCCCCGCAACGGAGCGACAGCGGCGCCGGAGCCGCUCUCUCUGCUUCUGGGCGAGAGGAGAAAUAACCUCCAAAUGAAGAACUUAAUGAGGAGUGGGGAGGGGUGGCGGCUCCCGCCGCGCGUUUGCAGCGGGGUGAGCGGGAUCUGCAGGUUUUCUCACUGACAUCUCCUUCCCCUCUUGACUUCAGAAAUCCACCCAUUCUGCCACAGUUUUCCAGCAGAGUGGAAAAGAGUGUGGACUUUUCAGAACGCAAGAUUCAAAAUAAAUUUAAGACAGGGAUUAGCCAAAUGAUCUGGACAAGUCAUCUUCUCUAUCUUCUGGAGCAGCACAGCCCACAGGGUUUUAUUCAGGGAGCCCUUUUCAAGUCAAAAAAGGAGUGUUGGCCUGAAGAGGUAUUUUGGAAAGAUAUCUUCACCUGACAGUGGGCUUUCUCAGUCAUUUUACAAAUAAAACCUUCUGGAUUUUUGCACGUGUCUGAUUGUUUCAGCCUCCAGCUGUUAAUUCUUAUUUAUUUCUUUUGGAUAACAAUAUCAGUUGGAAACAAAUGUCUUCACCUGAAGGUCCUCCUUGUGUUAUAACCAAGUUAGCACCACGAUCUGCUUCUAAUGAAUUAAGUAGACUGAGUUUUUCCUGUCUCUCAGGUGGAUACCUUGACCAGAUGUGAUCUUCUACACAACAGAUGGCUGUACAGUACUACUCACCAUCAUCUCCCUUUGAAGGCAGUGCAGAGAAAUGAGCCCUUCCAGAGUGAAAUUCAUCUCAUCCUAAAGUGGAUGUUUGAAACAGACUAGAUGAAUGUCCCUCACAGCAUUUCUAUUUCUCUCUAGCAACAAUUGAGGAAGCCUGUGGUGACUACCUCUUGUGUCAAGCCUGCAUUGUAGACCAGUGUAUUUAGGCAAGAUGGAUCAGUCUUUCCAGCUGUCAUUUUUCCAGCUUUGAAUCAUUUCCUCUGCACCUCACACAAAUGAGACUUUGAAACAUCUUGAGCAGAAGCAUGACUUUAAUAUCCACAUAAGAGGAUGCCUCACUGCUAAGUGCUGGGACUGCACACUGGGGCAGUUCACUGAAAACUUGGUGAGGGAGAUACAGCUGGAUUUCAAUAUGCACGUUGUCCACAGUCUGUGUUUUGCAUUAAUUGUACUUUCUUAACGAGGAGUAUGUAGUAAGAAUGAGAAAGCACCUUAAUAUUUAUGGUCCUCCUGGAAAAAAAGACUGUAUUAUGUAACUAUUAAUCUCGGUAUUUUUGUUCUAUAUGUUUUCCAUUUUUUUCUGAUAUUAACAUCCCCUGCAGCACCACAGCUCCUUUCAUCCAACUUGGUUUUUUAGCAUCAGCUGCUCAGCUGUCUCUAAUCACACCAGGCUCAGCCACUAGCCCAGCCAGACAGCUGCCAGAUUUUUCUUUUUUAAAUAAAUACAAACAUCUGUCAAGUUGUAAAGCAGAGAGCAAUGAAUCCAACUUUGUUUUGUUUUGUUUUGUUUUUCGCUCCCACUUGAAGAAGACAACGAGAGAAUUGCACAAUCUCUGCAACAAAAGACAAAGGAUUCGUGUGGCUGGACAAGUUCCCUUUAUUUCAAAUCAGAUGUGUUUAAGUGUCAGUGUGUUACCCGUCACUCAUAGAGUUUUAUUAGGUCUACAGGAAGGAAGUAAUGUGAAUCCCUUCUCUUGACCAACAUCCCUGUUUGAGCUCUUAUGUGAUUAGUAUUAUCGCUGUUACAUGAUUAUGUAUUGCUUACUCACCUGGCCAGCAGCCACUUCUCAGGAAGAACUUACGUAAGAGUAGCUGGCAGGGAGAAAUGAGGAUUGUUUUUUUCCCAUCCUGCUAUUCCUGUUGGACGUCUUCUACCACAAAUAAUAGGAACAGCUCAGGUGUGCCCUACUUCUGCCUGUCCCUCUCUCUUGCCUAUUAUCUCCUCAUCCCUGCCUUCUCUCUCACACAUUUACUACCCCUGAUUGCAGACACUUUUAGGAAAAUGGACAGCACUUCUGAAGCAGUAUUGCCAUUUUUUCUUACCUAUGGCUGUGUCCCUUGAAAACGCCCAGGUCAUGCUGUAGAACCAAGCUGUAUCCUACAUUCACUAUGUUGUUUCACAUCAACUUCAUUUUUACCUGUAAAAUAGUCCAAUACAUGCUGCGAAGGCAGAUUGCACUAUCUAUUUUCAGUGUGCUUCUACCAUGGCUUUCUUUUUGGGAAAGCAAGAAUGGAUCGUAGCAGAGAUCCCUCGCAAAGGAUUUUUUUUCCUUAAAUUCUGCUGCACGUUGCUGUGGUCAGUGAGCCAAGGUGAUGCAGGUGAGACCACAAAACCUGCCCGCACAUCCCUCUGCAUUGUUGUAGAGGUGAUUUAUAUCCAUUUAGUUGCAGUCAGUAGGGAUCAGCACAGGUUAAGUCGAUACAACGUGGGCUCCGAUUGAUUCGGGAAGGUUCGCGCAAUGGGUUGUGCUGGCUUAAAUAAUCAUUUUUAAGAUGUUUGUUGCCUUCAGUUGCAAACUGGAACCUGAGCCAAUUCUGGUGCUACAGAUAAAACACGUUUUUAGUGGUGUUUCACUGCAAAGCCACCGAGGGAUAGGCAGAAGUGAAAAUCGUGUGGGAAAAAUAUGAGAGCGUUAAAGGCGUGAAAUAUUCAGCAAGAAUUCAAGCCUUGCCUGGAAUUUUGAAACUAAUCUUCACUUAGCUAAUAUGAUCCUGCAUUAGAAAAUAUAAAAUAAAAUGUAGGGUGUUCAUUUCUCCCCUUGUUUUUCUGUAUGCUAUUUAUACCAAAAUAAUUUUAUAAUCAUUUGUGUGCAAUGUCUCACAAACAGUCCUGUGACAAUUGGGACAGUGCUUCCUGGAGGAUUAAGGAAAUUUGUAGGAAGAAUCAUAGCUUCGUGUGGGAACAAUCAAAUACUCAUUGCAGGCAUCUUUGUUCCUUAAUCUUAAUUUCUUUGUGCUGGUACCUUGAUUUGUUUCUCAAAUUUAACGGAGAAGGGUAUGAAGACACUAAAAAUCUAAAAUUACAAUGUAACGGUAUGGAAAUAUGAGGUUUAGGAAGCCUAAGCACUUAAACCAACUGUUCAGGGUAUUUUCCCCUUAAUGUGCUUACAUAAAUCACAUUAGUUUUUAUGAGAGUUAUUUUUCAAAUUUAUAGAGUUUUUCAGAUGGAUCCUCAGCUCCCAAGGUAGCGUACGCAGAGGCUGAGUGUGUUUCUGCAAGCUGAAGAGUAUGAAGUUCAAAUUUAAACUCUGAUGUUGUUUUUGUGGAUGUCAUUGGCUGCACGUUAGGACUGGACUUUGGAAAUAGCUUUUAUUUUAAUGCACAGCUCUAGAAAGCUAAAUUAUCAUUUCUGAAUGCCAAGCCCUCAAAUUACUUAUAUAAUGUGCAGUAUUUAUGUGAUUGCUUUAGAACAGGUACAUGCAAUGUCUUUAUCUGUAACAAGACCUGAAGGGGAAAAAAUCACUGACGCUACCUGAGCAAAUAUUGUGCAUCAGCACUGCUGUCUGGUAUGUGCUUCUCAUUGGUGCUUCACUGAAAUUCCUCAUUUCUGGAAAUAGGUGGUUUGGGGAAGAUCAAGUAAGUUAGAAGAAAAAGCGUAUUUCUAGCUUUGAUGAGUGUACUGAAUGUGCCCAGAAGGUUCAGAAAGCAGAAGGCAUAUAAAAACUUUGCAACAUUUAUUACAGCGUUGAAUAAAGAAAUAUUUUAAUGUUGGUUUGGGGAUUUGGGGACGGCCUAAUUCAUGGGUUUUGCAUUUGGCAUUCUUGUGAAAAUCAGCAAGAAUCUCCAGAGUGCAAUGAAUGCAUGGCAAAACUUCCACCUCACCCACAUCAUGUGUCCCCAGUGGGGCUUACUGUAGCCCUUUCAGCUGUCUGGUAGCUCUGCAAAGUGCUGCAGAGACUCACAGGGAGAAGCAGUGCCCAUGGCUCACAGCACGUCAAGGGACCAGGAGAGGCUUCAGCUGCUCAGCUUGCAACCAAGAAGCAGAAGCCAUGUCAGAAGGAGAUCAGGCUCUGUGCAGCUCAUGCAUCCUCCCAGUUAAACCAGAUUUUGAUGUCAGAGAUCUUUAAGCUCACCUUACGCCACUCUUUUUGCACCACUCCAACUGCAGAUAUGAGCAUAGGUCGUGAAGGCACAGCUCAGAUUAUA